AAAUGAUGAAGAUGAUGAGGAAGAAGAGGAUGUAACAGGAAGGAUGCAGGAGAGACCAGAUGCGAGAGUCACAGUGGGCGGCGUCACCUAUCAAAUCCCACCAGCUGGGAUUCAUGUGGAGUGAUGAUUGCAGCUCUACGUUUCUGAUGCAUUUUUAUUAAAAAAAAAAAGCACUUACCAUAUCAAGACAUUAAUUUUUGAAUAUUCACCAAGAUUUUAAGCUGUGGUAGUGAAUUUGACUGAUAUUUUUUCACCCACCCCUGCAUGAAU
This 270-nucleotide unclassified non-coding RNA is filed under the name Hevea brasiliensis (rubber tree). The record is from RNAcentral. Lineage: Eukaryota; Viridiplantae; Streptophyta; Magnoliopsida; Malpighiales; Euphorbiaceae.